CGAAGUGGCGGGGUGCUUACCAUGCAAGUCGAACGAUGAAGCCGCUUCGGUGGUGGAUUAGUGGCGAACGGGUGAGUAACACGUGGGCAAUCUGCCCUGCACUCUGGGACAAGCCCUGGAAACGGGGUCUAAUACCGGAUAUGAUCACCGGCCGCAUGGUCUGGUGGUGGAAAGCUCCGGCGGUGCAGGAUGAGCCCGCGGCCUAUCAGCUUGUUGGUGGGGUGAUGGCCUACCAAGGCGACGACGGGUAGCCGGCCUGAGAGGGCGACCGGCCACACUGGGACUGAGACACGGCCCAGACUCCUACGGGAGGCAGCAGUGGGGAAUAUUGCACAAUGGGCGCAAGCCUGAUGCAGCGACGCCGCGUGAGGGAUGACGGCCUUCGGGUUGUAAACCUCUUUCAGCAGGGAAGAAGCGCAAGUGACGGUACCUGCAGAAGAAGCACCGGCUAACUACGUGCCAGCAGCCGCGGUAAUACGUAGGGUGCGAGCGUUGUCCGGAAUUAUUGGGCGUAAAGAGCUCGUAGGCGGCCUGUCACGUCGGAUGUGAAAGCCCGGGGCUUAACCCCGGGUCUGCAUUCGAUACGGGCAGGCUAGAGUUCGGUAGGGGAGAUCGGAAUUCCUGGUGUAGCGGUGAAAUGCGCAGAUAUCAGGAGGAACACCGGUGGCGAAGGCGGAUCUCUGGGCCGAUACUGACGCUGAGGAGCGAAAGCGUGGGGGAAAAAAAAAAAAAAGGGGGGUG
RNAcentral lists this ribosomal RNA (741 nucleotides) under Streptomyces albus. Its description in RNAcentral is "bacterial SSU rRNA". It matches the Rfam family "Bacterial small subunit ribosomal RNA", at positions 30 to 792 of the family's 1533-position model. Lineage: Bacteria; Bacillati; Actinomycetota; Actinomycetes; Kitasatosporales; Streptomycetaceae. The record is from RNAcentral.